AGUCAAUGGCUGACUGCAGUACACAGGUUCUCUUAAACAACAUCAUCUGGCCCAUGGAAGAUGAAGAGGGGGACAAUGAACCCCCAUUUACCACCCAGUGCAGAAUUUCAGGGUACCUUAGGAAGUUUGUGGAGACUGCUGAUCAAUGUAAAUUGAAACAGCUUGUCAAAUUCUGGGUGGGCUGGGAGCUACCAAUGAAGGAAAUGCAGGUGAAAGUGGUGCAGGCAGAAAGCCCUACAUCCUCCACCUGUUUUUGCAUUCUUCGUCUACCAGCUCAUUACACGACUUAUGACCAUUUCAAAAAACACCUAGAAAGCUGUAUUGCCACUAGUGAUGUUGGUUUUGGCCUUGUAUAAAAUUACAUAAACUGCUUUAAAUUGAAAAUAUCAAA
Long non-coding RNA from Cyprinus carpio (common carp), 391 nucleotides. RefSeq lists it as uncharacterized. The transcript has 3 exons. Lineage: Eukaryota; Metazoa; Chordata; Actinopteri; Cypriniformes; Cyprinidae. The record is from RefSeq and is a predicted model, not a curated record.